RNAcentral lists this transfer RNA (73 nucleotides) under Trypanosoma cruzi marinkellei. It matches the Rfam family "tRNA". Rfam says of the family: Transfer RNA (tRNA) molecules are approximately 80 nucleotides in length. Their secondary structure includes four short double-helical elements and three loops (D, anti-codon, and T loops). Further hydrogen bonds mediate the characteristic L-shaped molecular structure. tRNAs have two regions of fundamental functional importance: the anti-codon, which is responsible for specific mRNA codon recognition, and the 3' end, to which the tRNAs corresponding amino acid is attached (by aminoacyl-tRNA synthetases). tRNAs cope with the degeneracy of the genetic code in two manners: having more than one tRNA (with a specific anti-codon) for a particular amino acid; and 'wobble' base-pairing, i.e. permitting non-standard base-pairing at the 3rd anti-codon position. Lineage: Eukaryota; Euglenozoa; Kinetoplastea; Trypanosomatida; Trypanosomatidae. The record is from Rfam by way of RNAcentral.
AGGCGUGUGGCUCAGUGGUAGAGCGUCCGUUUCGCACACGGAAGGCCCAGGGUUCGAUCCCCUUACUUGUCCA